AGCAGCAUGGCGCAGAUGGAAGCGCGCGGGGCCCAUAUUACCGUAGUAAUCUACCCCGAGGUCACUCGAUCGAAACGAGUUGCUGCUA
Non-coding RNA from Mycena amicta, 88 nucleotides. The record is from the annotation of a GenBank genome assembly. NCBI's taxonomy places the organism in Eukaryota, Fungi, Basidiomycota, Agaricomycetes, Agaricales, Mycenaceae.